This is a non-coding RNA of Caretta caretta (loggerhead turtle), 325 nucleotides long. The record is from RefSeq and is a predicted model, not a curated record. NCBI's taxonomy places the organism in Eukaryota, Metazoa, Chordata, Testudines, Cheloniidae.
GUGGACAAGCAGACAGUGUUGGGCUUCAGAUUGGAGAUGAGAUAGUUCGGAUAAAUGGAUACUCCAUCUCUUCAUGCACUCACGAGGAAGUAAUAAAUCUCAUCCGCACAAAGAAAAUAGUGUCCAUAAAAGUAAGACAUGUCGGCAUGAUACCUGUCAAAAGCUCUCCAGAUGAGCCUCUUAAGUGGCAAUUUGUGGAUCAGUUUGUGUCAGAUUCUGGGGAGGGAGAAGGCAGUGUUGCUGGACUCGCUUCAUCUGGAGGAAGGGACAAUAAAGAGAAGAAAGUCUUCAUUAGUUUGAUUGGUUCCAGGGGCAUGGGAUGCAG